RNAcentral lists this long non-coding RNA (27971 nucleotides) under Gossypium barbadense (sea-island cotton). RNAcentral's name for it is "long non-coding RNA (GBAR_LNC021197)". The record is from RNAcentral. Lineage: Eukaryota; Viridiplantae; Streptophyta; Magnoliopsida; Malvales; Malvaceae.
GUGAGAAUGGAGAGAAUUGGAGCAUGGGGCAAAGGCAGUUGGUGUGCCUUGGGCGUGUUCUAUUGAAGAAAAGUAAGAUCUUAGUGCUCGACGAAGCUACCGCAUCGGUGGAUACAGCCACCGACAACCUAAUACAGACGACGUUAAGGGAGCACUUCUCCGAUUGUACGGUCAUAACAAUCGCUCACCGAAUAACUUCGGUUCUUGAUAGCGACAUGGUUCUGCUACUAAGUCAUGGUUAGUAGUACAGUAUGCUCUGCUCAUUAAGAUGGAUUCUUGGAAGUCAUUUCAUUUGAAUAGAUAAAAAAAAAAAAACAUUUGUUUUUGCAGGACUUAUAGAAGAAUAUGAUAGUCCAUCAAGUUUGCUGGAAAACAAGUCUUCAUCAUUUGCACAGCUUGUAGCAGAGUACACUGUGAGAUCAAAUUCUGGUUUUUGAUAGAAACUGGAUUGAAUUAGACAAUGAUGAAAAUUUACUAGUGUUAGUAAUUAGUAAUGUUUUUAAUUUGUAAUUGUGGGUGUUUUUCAUUGUUUUGUGCCAUUUUCUUUGGCUCCCAAUAAACGAUUUUCCCUUUUUUUUGUGGUCCAAUUGUUAUGUUUUAUGUUGCUAAAACUUUUCGUAUGUGUUCCAUACUUGUAUUAUACACAUGUGUAUAAACAUCAGAGCGAUAGCAGAAAAUUUUGUUAGAAUGGUCGAAAUUAAAUUGUAAUUUUUACGAUAGUAAAAAUAUAAUUUUAUUAUUUUAAUAGUCUAUAUUUUUAUAAUAUAUUUUAAAAAUUAAAUCAAAUUCUUAUAUAUAUUUUUUAGGUUGGUAUUAAAUUGGGAUGAAUUAAUCAACUCGAUUAGGAAUAUAGUAUGCUACAAUGUUAUAUUCUUGAACUAGUUUAUGAAACUUAUUUUAAUGAGCUUAAGCGGAAUAAAUGAUGUACUUGGUAGUAUGCUUUGCAUAGGUGUAAUUAUUGAGUGUUUUCAUUAACUUAUUUGUGUUGAUACUAAAUUUGUAGAAAUACCAUUAAGUUGAUUAUUCGGCGUACGAUUUGUUUUCCAUGCGCAAGUUAGAGUAUAUUAAAGAUCCUAAAUUUCGGUUUCAGUAUCCAGAGAACAUCUUGAACUCAACAAUGUUGAUGUAUUUACAUUUUUGAAUAGUUUAGCAUGUACCUAUCUAGUUAAGUCAUUGUUAGUAUAUCUUUAUAUUUAUAUGAACUUGAGUAUCAAAUUAGUAUUUAUUGAAUUUAAUUAAUAGUGUUAUUAUAUGCUCAUAAGUAAGUUAUUUGAAAUGUGUGUAUUCGUAUCUAAAUUAAUUGUGGUUGCCCUGAAAACAAAUGUGACACAUUGUAGCUCAGACCUGACGAUCGGGUCGGGUAUGAAAUGUUACACAAAGAGUACAAAAGCUUGGAUUAUAUUUUAAUAUUUACUUUAUAAUUUGACUAAAAAAUAAUUAAUAAUUAACCUAACACGAAGCACUAUAAAAUACGUACUAGUUAGUAUUAAGGGUUUUUCUCCUAGGUAAUACAAAAAAUAAUAAUUACAAAAAUGGGGCAUAUUGUAGAUUAUUUAUGAGAAUGAUAUACAAUAAAAUUAGGUGCCUCCUAGUGUCACGGGGCUAAAUCUUUCGUCUCACGAUCUGUUCGGCCUUAAGCGAUCUGUUCGCUCCAAACUCGCCUAAGUCAGCCUUUACUCCCAAAAGUGAGGAUUCCUUUAGAAUUCUUUUAAGGCACCAAUUUGUAUAGCGAAAGCGAUUGUGCCCAAAGAAGCUACAAAUGAACAAUUGAAAGCCAAAGAAAGAAUGCACACAAAGUGUUUAAGUAAAUGCUCUCAAUAUUCUCUUAUUCACAAAAAAUAAUGAAACAAUGAAUGAAGUCGGUACAAAUGAAGGGGACACUCUCUAUUUAUAGUUGAGCUCCCCCAAAACCGACGGUCAAUAUACAUUUACAUCGACGGACGAAAUUAACCAUAUCCCUUGAUUUUAGGGAUUAACAAGAUAUGUCAUAUCAAAUUAAAUCUAAUCUUUACAAGAUAUGAUUCCCUCAAUCUUCUAAAAUUAGUUACCAAAUUAACCUAAGUUAUUAUAUCUUCGUUAUCGGGCCAACCAGACUUCAAUCUAACAGGCUUUUCCAACAGCUUCUUGAAUCGGGUCAGUUCUUACAGGCCAAAUGAUUCCCAUCUAACCAAUAAACCUCAAUCGGAUGCAUUUGGUGCGAUGGUCACGGGCUUUGAACUGCGGCUCGUAACACUAGCACCACCUAUAAAAAGUAAAAUUUUAAUAAAAAUAAAUAAAAUAAUAAAUUAAAAACAAUAUUUUAAUCUAAAAAGUGGUGACCUAAAUAUUAGUCCAUUUAUUUUAAUUCAUCGUAAUUUGAUCUAUGUUUUCAAAUUUAAAAAGUUAGUUAAAUUAUUGAGUUUGUAUAUGGAUUUAAAAAACGGUUGGUCUUGUAGUAAGUAAUUUGAUGAUCAAGUUUAAUGAUAGUAAAUAAUUUUGCCUAACUUUUUAAAUUCAAAAACAUAAUAAAAUUAAAUUAUAAUAAAUUAAAAUACAUGGACUAACUUCUAAUUUUCAUAAAAUAGAAGUGUAGAAUUCGAAAUUAUACUACAACCACCCCAAAUUUAAAAAACAAAAAAACAAAGAGUUAGCACGUUGGGUCACUUUUUUAGAUUAAAAUAUUAUUUUUUAUAUUUAUAUUUAUUUAAAUUUAAUUUUACUAUAAAAUCUAUUAUUCUCAUAAAUAAUAUGCAACAUGCACAUUUUCGUGAUUAAAUUCCAUUUUUUUAUUCAUGUGUUUACCCCUUGGAAGACAAGUGUCUGACUGCGGAGUCCCACGUUUUGCAUUGCAUGGUGUGCUGAGUUGCUGACGACCAUGUUUUUUUGCCUUUUCUCUUUAUCUUUUUCUUUUAUUUGAAUUACAAAAAUAAAGUAAAACCCUCACAAUAACAUGAUUAACGCUAUUCGAAUUUUAAAUGGUUCGAAAAAUAAAUAUUUUGACAAUAACACACAAGAUUUGGCAUUUUUUGUUCUUCCACCAAGUGACAUAUAAUAUGAAUACGAGUCAACAACAUAAACAAUCGUUGAAAAGUGUUCAACUUAGUCCUCAAAGUAUGACUUGCAUUUCAAAUUCAUCUCUAAAGUUUAAAUUGUUUUAAUUAAGUCACAAAAAUAUCAAUAUCAUAUCUAUUAAAUUAUUCCAUUAAAUCAGUCAUUAACUUAAACAUUAAGGUAGCUCAAAUCUAGCAGUAGUAUAUUAAAACCCCAUAGGUCAAAUUAUAAAACCUUGAAUCUAUAUAUUAAAAAAAAAGUAAUUCUCUUAUAUUUUAUUGAUGAUUUUUAAAAAAAAAUUAGAUGUAGGCUAUUCAUGAUAUAAUUAUAUAUGCAUUUAAAAUUUUAUAAAAAUAAUUUAAAUACAUUUCAUAAUAUAUCUGAAUCAGUAUUUAUUAUUUAAAGUGAUGGCUACACCCGCAAAUGAAUCUUAAUGACAUGAUACUAAUAAUUUGAGAAUACAAUAAUUAUUUGAAAUAUAGGGAUGAAUUUAAAAUUUGAUCAAUAAAUUAGGAAUAUUAGUUGAAAUUAAGUCCUUCGUCCCUCGUUCCUGCUAAUUUAGUAUUUUGUUAGUUCUGGAAAACUGACACUAAAGUAAAAAAAGACUUUGAUAAUUAAUCCUAUAUUUUAUGUUUUCAGAGUAAAAAAUCACGUCUUUCCCCGAAGGGCAAAGGCCCCUCCAACUUCCUUUUUACGUCUUUUUCUGAAGUUCAGUACGUUUCCCUUCUGCUCUCUCCGUUUCCAAUCUUGCUGUCCACGCAUUUCUCUUCUCAUUUAUAUAUAAACACAAAGCCAGAAGCCUUCAAACACUAGAAACCAAUCAAAACUUUUAUCCAAACACACAAAACCCAAGUUUUUUCUUCGGCCAAAGCUCCAAAAAAAAUGGAACUUUUUGCUUCACAAUCAUCUUUACUAAUGAGUUCAGCUGCUAGUUUUGAUUUUCGACUAAAACCCAUUUUUCUUCAUGGGUUUUCUGCUUCAUUACACUUAGUUUUGUUGCUUUUAUUGUUAAUCUUGUGGGUGGUUAAAAAAGUUAGUAGGGAAGAUUCAAAGGAAAGACAGGUUUAAUGGUAUAAGCAAACAUUAGCUUGUUGUUUUGUUGUUUCAGUUUCUAAUGUUGUCUUGUGUUUCUUAAAUUAUUUUUAUUGGCAUACGAAUGGUUGGUCAGAGGAUAAGUGAGUGAGUCUUAUUGAUUAUGCAUUGAAAGCACUUGCUUGGGGUGCAUAUGCAACAUGUGUUUACAUGCAUUGUCAAUUCUCCAAUCCCGGUGAACAAAAGAGGUUCCCUGUUGUGUUGAGAAUUUGGUGGAGUUUUUACUUUUCAAUUUCAUGUUAUUGUCUUGUUAUAGACAUUGUUCUAUUCAAAAAACAUGUUUCUUUCCCAAGCCAGUAUUUAGUAUCUGAUGUCUUGUCUGUUGUUACUGGUUUGUUAAUUUCUAUGUACUGUUGGGGUCUUUUUAAGAAAUGAGGGUGAAGAUACCGUCCUUGAGGAACCCCUUUUAAAUGGAGAUUCUAGUGUUAGUAAUGGUGUAGAGUUGAGUAAGGAAAAAGGGGGUGAUACUGUAACCCCAUAUUCAAAUGCUAGUAUUUUCAGCAUUCUUACAUUUUCUUGGAUGGGGCCUCUCAUGGCUGCUGGCAAUAAGAAACCAUUAGACCUUGAGGAUGUUCCUCAGCUAGAUAGCCAUGAUAGUGUUAUUGAGGCUUUUCCAAAAUUUAAAAACAGGCUUGAAUCAGCUGAUAGUGAAGGGAAUGGUGUUACCUCACUUAAGCUGGUGAAGGCACUGUUCUUUUCAGCUUGGAAAGAUAUUCUUUGGACAGCUUUGUUUGCAUUUACGUACACGGUGGCUUCAUAUGUCAGUCCAUACCUCAUCGAUACUUUUGUUCAGUAUCUGAAUGGGCAAAGGGAAUUUCCAGUGGUAGUUCCGAUACAGCGAUUGAGAUUGCUGAUGGUAACUUCUCUUGGGAUAUGUCAUCCUCUACUGCAACACUAAAAGAUAAAAACUUGAAAGUUUCCCAUGGCAUGAGUGUUGCUGUUUGUGGUACGGUCGGCUCUGGCAAGUCAAGUUUACUUUCCUGUCUUUUGUGAGAGUUCCCAAAGAUAUCAGGAGCCAAGGCCCGCCGAAGGGUGGCUCGGAGAGAGGGGAGAGGGUUUCAGAAUUUUUUUUUAGAAAUGGGGAUGGAAUGAUUUUUUUGGGAAACUUUUGACUUAAAUAGGGCAUAGAAAAGGCGCCGUUUUCGCCUGUUUCCUUUAACAUAAAACGGCGUCUUUUGAUGCCAAAACCGAAUCGACCCGACCCGACCCAGCAGGAUCCGCGUGUUUUUGGCUGGGGGUCUAAUUCCGCCAUAAGUCCUUCCUAUUGUUCAAUUUUUUUCAAUUCAGUCCUAAUUACUCUUUUUUUUUUUUUAGAUUAUACCUUUUAUUUUUAAUUUAGUCUCCCUAUUUGCCUAAAAACGUAGCGUUUGAUAGGAUAGGGAAUAUUUUCCAAUUUGGUCCCUUUUUUUUAUGCGUGUUACAGUUUAGUUCCUUAUUUUAUUUUUAUCCCGAUUUCUCCCCUAAUAUUUUACUUAAGUUUCAAUAUAGUCCUCCUUAUAUUUAUGUACUUAUUUUAUUAUAAUUUAGACUCUUAGUUUCAUUUCAAUGUCGAUUUAAUCCUUAAUUAUUUAAUUUCGACCAUGAUUAUUUGUUUUUAUGUAUUAUUAUUUUUUAUUUAUUUACUUACUAUUUCUUUUUUAUUUAAAAUUGGUUUGUUUUUGUAUUUAUUGUGCAUUUUUUAUUUUUAUUUUUAUCUCCUUUUCUUUUGCCUUUAUUGUCAUUAUUUAUUUAUUAUUUUUUAUAUAUUUUCAAAAAUUAGAUUAUUUACAUUUUUACUUGCACAUUUAUUGUUCGUGUUAUUGUUAUUAUUAUUAUACGUUCAUAUUUUAUUAUGUGUAUUGUUAUCAUGCCAUUAUUACUAUAAAUUGAUAUCGCACUGUCAUUUACUAACACGACAUUGUUAUUUUUCAUAUAUAAUUUUUUAUAUAUACUUCCAUUUAAUUUUAUUAUGGCUACAAUCAUGUCACGAACCUUGCUCAAAUACAUUUACUCGUUUCUAUACUAUGCCCGAAUAAGCUAAAUACACAUUACUUUUAAUAUUGCACUCGUCUUUGCACGAGGCACAAAAAAGGAAAUUUUUUAAACCAAAGUAAUGUUCGUUAUCUUGGAAUUAGAAAAGUCGUGUUCUUAACUUACGGAAUAUGGCUUCUUUCUAAAACCAAGAUAGUCGAAUAUUUACUUUAAAAUAAAUAAAAACAGGAUUUAAGUGAUGAUCAAAAUGGCGUUCAUUCUUGUUCUCGAGGAUUUAAGGCAUUGUGUCCUAACUUACAGGAUGUGAUCCUUUCUUCUCGAUUAACUUGAAAUAAGCCUCCUUUUUGUAAAAAUUAAUUUAGUUAAAUAAUGUAUCAAAAAGGGAUCGUGUUUUAAAUUCUCUUCAAAUUUCUAAUUUUUGACAUUAAGACAUCAAGUAAUCAAUUAGGUAACAAUUUUGGACGUAACGAGAGGUGUGACAGCCCGAUUUCGACCCUAAUCAGACAUAGUAGUUUCGGGACCACAAAUCUAAGUCAAAAAAAUAUUUUAAUAUUACUUUGGGAGUUUACUAUGUGUGAAUUUGAUUGUGUGAGAUUUUCGUGUUUCAAUUUUGUUGUUUGAGUAACUGAUUAAAUAAAAAGGACUUAAUCGCGUAAAAAUAAAAAUUUAGGGGUUAAAGCUAAAAAUAUCUAUUUGUUGUUGUCUUUUUAUUUGGAAGGUUUAAACAUGGAAUUAGACCACUAAAUAGUUAGUGGAUGGCUAAGGACAAAACUAACCUUAUUAUAUAUAUUUAUAAAAAUUACAAAAAAUAUAUAUGUAAAAAAUAUAUAAAGAAAUUUAAAAAUUAAAAAUUUUCUAGAAUGAUAAUUUUGGGAUCUAAAUAAGUUAAUUAAUUAUUCAAAUUUAUAAUACUAAAGUAUUUUAUUAUUAUUUUGCUUCGAAUUUUUUUUCAAAUAUUUAUUGUUUCAAUUUUAUGUGCUCUAACAUGGAAUUAGUUAUAUUGUAAUAAGAUUUUAAUUUGACAUGUUUAAUUUUUUUAAUUUAAUUUGAAUAAUUUCACUCGAUUUGACUCGAUUCGAUUCGAAAAUUUUUUAAAUUGAGUUAGGAUGCUAAAAUAGAACUCGUCAACUCAAUUAAUUUAAAAAAAAUUCACUCAAUUCGAUUGAAUACUCACCCUUACUUUGAAACAAAAAAGUGAGACAUGAUGCAGCAACAUUACACCGGGCCAUGUCUGAAAUAGUGAAAAACUCUCAUGUAAUGAAAAUGGCCAAGUAACUAAAGCAAGGAUCCAUGAGCUGAAAUUCUGGAGAUCAAUAGUGAAAGAAACCUUAAGGCUACACCCACCUGUUCCUUUGAACAUCAGACAAAACAUUGAGAACUGUGCGUAGGAGUGAGUAAAAUCCGAUUCGAUUCAAAAAAUUUAAUGAAAAAUUCAAAUUUUGAAUUAAAUAGUUCGAGUUAUUUGAGUUAAUCAAGUUAUUCGGAUUAACUCGAAUAAAAAAUUAAGUUUUUUGGUUUAACUCGAAUAUGAAUUACACAAUUCGAGUUAUCCGAAAAUCCGAAUAAGAAAAAACAAAAUUAUGUUGUUUUGAUAAAUGUUUAUUUUUUAAAAGUUAAAAUUCAAAAUAAUUAAAUUAAAAGGCAAAACUACUUUGUUUUGAUAAAUGUUUACCCAUUAAGUUAAAAGGUAAAAUCAUUAUAUUGUUCAUGUAGUUAAAUAAUCUUGUAAAUUUAUCUACUAGUUAAAUAACCGGUCCAUCUAAACGCAACAUUAAGUAUAAAUAAUAGGAUUCGUUAAUUCGACUCGAUUUGACUCGAUUCAAUUCGAUUCGAAAAAAUUUCAAAUUGAAUUCGGUUGCUAAAAUAGAAUUUGUCAACUCGACUAAUUCAAAAAAAUUUUACUCGGUUUGACUCGACUCGAUCGAAUACUCACCCUUAACUGUGUAAUCAAUGGCUAUGGCAUCCCUUCAAAGUCCAAUGUUCUCAUUUAAUGCACGGGCCAUAUAAAGGAUCCUUGUUGUUGGGGAAAAGGUGAAGUGUUUUGGGUGAGAGCACCUCUAUUGGUGGUUUUAAUGGAGGAAAGCUUGAGUACAUGUAUAUGUAUAUGCCAUUUGGUGGUGGGGAAGCCAAAAAAAUUGUUUGAAUGAGUAAAAAAAUUGUUAGAAGGAAGAAUGAUUUGGUCUUAUUCUCGUACCUUAUUCUUUUUCAUCCAACUAAUAGGGUUCUGUAGAGGUCUUUGUAUUAUAGCAUGGAAUGCAUUUUUAGUUUCUACAAGUAAAAUAUUCUCUUACGCUAGAAAUACAUGCAAAAUGAUCAUUUAUAUAACAAUUGAAGGGAAAAAAACAGUUAGUUUUAUGAGGUGGAAUUAAUUAAUGAUGUGGUAUUAAUUUAAGAUAUGACGUGAAAUGUUCACUUUUGUCUUUUGUACCUUAAUUCAUUUUGAAUGUAACAAACUCAAAGUGCUUACUUCAAACUAUUAAAAGUAAAAGAAGCCAUUUGCUUUAUCUAAACUUAAGUAUUGUAAAAUCUCCUUAGGAAUCUCCUAAAAAAAUUGGACACCUUCCUUAUUACCAGAAAUCAAUUUGGCGAUCCCAUCGGCAACUUGAUUAUUCUUCCCGGGAACAUACCUAAAAAACCACAAUCUUCCAUUUUUCAAUAUAUGUUUGGUUCUUCUAACCAAGACUAAAUUUGCAUCCGUUGAUUGCCUAUCUUCAAUGACUUUAAUCAUUUUCAUGUUAUCCGUAUGAAUCAACACUCUCUCAAAUCUUCAUUUGUUUAAAAUAGUUAACCAAUCUAGAAUCACAUCCCUUAAGUAAUGGUUAUAACCAAGAAUCUAAUCCCCAACCUAAUUUCACAACACUCUCCCGACCAAUUCAUAUUCCCCAAUUUCAUAUCUUAUUCAUCGAUUAAAUACAUCCAGCUACAAUUGAGUAAAUGAAUAUGCCACCUCAUAUAUUAAACUUAUGUUGUAUCAUUUAAUUGAGUUAAUCUCAUAAAGUUAACAACUUUUUAUCAACUAUUACCAAAAAUAUGAUCUUGUUAAUUUAUCUACCUACAAGGAUCUUUAUGUUUAUUUUUAAAAGUAUAAAAACUAAAUGCAUUCUUCAUUAUGGUACAGGGACCGAUAUAGUAUUUUUACCAAUAAUUCCCUAAUGGAAAAUUGGAAAUUUGCUUGGUAGUAUAUUAAUAAAAUCAAAAAAAAAAAAAGUCAUUUGUGAAUCCAAGGCUUGGUUCAGAAUCGAAUCUCAACAUUGUAUCUCCAUAUUUUUAUUUUUAUUUCUUUGUCCCCCGAUUUAUUUGCAUUUUAGCAUUUGCAGGGACUUCCAUUUUUCAAAUAAUUGUUGGAAACUGAAAAUUGGAUCAAUUAAACUACUAAUAUAUCCUUCUUUCCUUGAUAGUUGAUCCCAAAGCAAAGAUGCUUUUCAACCAAGGUUGACUGCGCUAAAUGUUUUUAAGUUUUAAAAUAUUAUAGUUGAGUCCUUAAAAUAUUAGUAUUACAUCAAUUACGUCCUUAUGCCAAUUUAGCUUAUCAGCAUGGGUUGCAAGGGCAACAUUAGAGGAGGACAAGCAGGGCCAUGGUCCCUCCAAAGUGAAAAAUUGCUCUUUUAUUUCCUUUAAAAACAAUAAAAUUUUAAAUUAAUUUAAUUGUAAAAUUUUAUGACCCUUCUAAAAUUUAAAAUUGAAUUGUUUAUAGUUUAAUUUCUCAAGAUAUUGUAAAAUUUUAUGUUUAUAUAGUGAUAAAUUUACAUUUUAGCUCUCUCAACAAUAUAUAAUCCAAAUUCGGCCCUCCCCCUGGAAAUUAUUUCUAGCUUCGUCAUUGCUUGGUCAAAUUAUAAACAUAUGUUUAACAUCAUCUUUGGUAUGACGUGUAACAAAAAAAAAAGCCCUCUUAAAUUUUAAUGUUAUUUUUUAAAAUACGUCAAAUAUGAACCGAUAUUGAUGGUUAAACCGGCGAAAAGACCUAAUUAAUAUAAUACUAGCAUUUUGAAGAUUAGGUUAAAACAUUUUGAAAUGUAGGACCAAUUUAAAAUCUCAAGAUAAAUUGGGGGAUAGUUUAGUGAAUUGAACAAUUUCGACUAUUCCAAGUUUGCUUUGGUGGUUGGAGCAGGCAGUCCGCAGUAGCAUCUUUGGUUUCAUCAACUGCAAAAUUUGUUGACUAUAUUUAAUUUGUUUGGAAAAUUAAACGCCCACUUUUUACAAGGAGAUUUAUUUAACAGCUAGUCAUAUAUUUGCUUGGUAGCGUAGAAAAUAGGAAACUACAACUUCAUUUUUAUUUUUCAAUUUUAUUCUAAAAUUAUUGACACGUUUGAUUAACUGUAAAAGAAUAGGAUUGUAAUCGGUAAUUCAAUUAUUUGGUUGAAUGAAAUGGAAUAAUAUUCUUGCGUUAGGUUAAUUGGAAUGAAAUAGUAUUCUUGUGUUUGGUUGAAUGGAAUAAAUAUUGUAAUAGCAUAAGAAAAAAUACUGAAAUAAUCAGAGUACCCUUAGCAGAAUUUUUGUAAGGUAGAUAAUUAUGGUUUUUGUUAUUAAAUUUUAAUAGCAUUAUUAUUAAAUAUAAUUUAAUAAUAUUCUUAAUGUAAUACCCAAUUUUAGCCCGGGCUCGCAUAUGGAAACAUAAUUUUUGAGGAUAUGCAAUCUUAGAUAUGAUAUGCAAUCUUAGAUAUGAUAUAUAAUCUUAGAUAUGAUAUGCAAUCUUAGAAUAUAUGAUUUUGUAAUCUUAGAGAUUUAAUUUGUAGAUACCCUUUAAUCUCAGCCGUUGAUGUAAUUGAUCUGUACCGUUGGAUUUGAGGAGGCUCAACUAUAAAUAGAGGUCUCUCCCUUCAUUGUUGAAAGGGAGGAGGAGGAAGAGGAAUAAAAAAAAGAACGAUUGGCAGUUUUUUAAAGGUGGCUUACUAUUUUUUUUCUUCCGAUUAUUUUUUUUACUUAUUUACGAUUUUAAAAAGGGGGAGAAGGUGAUACCACUGCGAAUUUUAUUUAUUUAUUUUAUUUAGCCCCUCCGCCUUUUAAUGUUUUUGUAAUUAAGUUUUUUUUAUUUUUAUUUUUCUUAAUUUACCCUUUUAUUUAUUUUUAUUUCAAUUGGGUCUAAGUUGAACGGCGUUGUUUUAAAGGAGAAGGGAAAAUUUCCCUUCCAGCCCCUCUAUAUAAUUCGUGCGUUCAAAUUAAUCCUUUUACUUUUAUUUAUUUACAGAUUUACCCCUAUUUUUUUACUUCCGACCCAAUUUAGUCCUUUCUCAUAUUUUUCUUAAAAUCAGUAUUUCUAAUUUUUUUUAUGAAAUUAUUAUUAUAUGUAUAUAUAUAAAUAUGUUUCUUUUGCAUGUAUUUACACCUUAAAAAAAACUAAUAUUUUUCGUAUAUUUUAGACACAUAUUUUAUUAAUUUUGAUAUUAUCUUAAUUAUUUUAAACUUAUAUAUUUUCAUGGAUGUAUGUAUAUAUAUAUUUUUUAUUUCAGUUAUUUGUCUAUUAAUUUAUGUUUACAUAUAUUUUUUAUUAUCUUGUCCAUUUAUUUGAUAUUUUGCAGGCCAUUAUUUUACUUAUUUGUUCAUAUAUUUGCAUUAUUUCUAUGCUAUCGUAGUAUUUAUUAUUGCAUUAUAUAUUUAAUGUAGCAUAACAUUACAUUUUUUACUCGAUUUUUAAAAUCAAACUUUUUCAAAAUGGAUAUUCUUUUAAUUAAAAUAAAAACUCAUUAUUGGGAAUUCAACACGUUGUGUCCUAACGUAUUGGAUGUGACGCAUUGAUUUCUCGAAAUGAAGAUUUUUUUUAAAAAUCAUGAAGGAAAUAUUCCGAGUUUGAGAUUCUAAAGGAAUUGUGCCCUAACGUAUUGGGUGUGAUUUCUUAAAUCUUGGAUAAGUGGAUGUUCUUUUAAAGUAAAUGAAAUAUUCCGAGUUUGAGAUUCUAAAGGGAUCGUGCCCUAACGUAUUGGGUGUGAUUUCUUAAAUCUUGGAUGAGUGGAUGUUCUUUUAAAGUUUUAUUGUAUAAGUAUUCUGAUCUAAUUCAUUUUGGGGGAAAUUAGAAUGUUGUGCCCUAACGUAUUGGGUGUGGCAUUUUUGCUUCUCUAAAUUGAAAAGGGUCUUAAUAUGCAACGUUUUAAGUUUUUAAAGAUUAUAUUUUUAAAAUUUUCGACCUUAAGACAUUAAUUAAUUAACUAGGUACCAAUUUUUGGGCGUAAUGAGGGUGCUAAUCCUUCCUCAUGCGUAACCGACUCCCGGACCCGUUAUUCUAAAAUUCGUAUACCAAAGUCGUUUUUAGGUGACCCAAUCACACCUUAAUAAAAGAUUGGUGGCGACUCCCAACUUUCAUUUUCUUUUUUUUUAAGUCGACAACCUAAAAUUUUUUGUUUUAAAAAAAAAAUGGUUUCGACAGCUUGGCGACUCCGCUGGGGAAUUUUUUAAGAGAGUCGAGCCACAAAGUUGAUUAAUUUUUAUCUUAUGGUCGAGAAAAUAUUUUUAAAAAAACUCAUGACAUCCUUUUGCAUUCAUUAUCUUCUUGUUUAAAUAUUGUUUGCAUUAUACAUUUAAUGAGUUGAACAAUGUUACCCUUUUAAAUGGGAGUGAGAAACUAUACCUUCGUGAGGUUUUACCUCCGUGUAGGGUAGUGGAUUGCUUUCGGGAUACAUCCGUACCUAUGUCUUCGUGAGAUUUUUCAUCUCCGUGCAGCCAUAGGGAAAUGUAUUCCCCUGAAUUGAACUCGAUCCAUAUGAGCCUAUAAUGGGUGAGGAUUGGGGAAUCUGCUGGUUCGGGUACCUUUACUCUAGAAGCCAAACUUCAUAUAAUGAACCUUAGGAAUCCACCCUAGGUAGAAUUAUACUAUACCCUAGUAGAUAUCCAAUUAGGGAUCUUUACUAUUUCUUGAUUAUAUCUUGUGUUUCUAUGUUAUACUAACUUUUGGUGUUUUAUUUGCAUGACAUGGCAUUUCAUUUCACGCAUUGCAUUAAUAAAUAUAUCAAGGGAUUCUAAUUAAUCUAAAUUACUCAUCAGUUAAUUUGGAAACCAAUCAAGCUAUCAAACACUGCUACGAAACUCGAUCCAAAACUAGAGACAUGGACCAAAGGCUAGAACAAUUCCAGAAAGAAAUGCAAGAGCAAAUGAAUGAGCAAUUAGAAAAGAUUCAACAAAAGAUGAUGGAAAAGAUAAUGGGAUCUCAAGGGAGUAUGAUGGCUAAGUUGACUCAGUUAUUGGCUGGAGGAGUUGACAAAGGAAAGGGAUUGGUGCUCAACAAUGAAGAAUGUGACAAUGAGGGACUUGUCUAUCCUCCGGACUUUACACCCCAACAAGUUGAGAUAUACCCGCGUAGGUCCUUUGUUACCAUUAAUCCUCCGGGUGAUGCUGCAACGCAAAUGAAUUUCCAGAUGGGAUCAGGCUCUAACCCCGGUGCCAAUUUUGUUAAUCCUGCUAUUCCUGAUUUUGAUGAGACGGUUGGAAAGGAAAAAAUGAAUGAGGAACUAUCAAAACAGCUUGAGGAAAGGUAUAAAUGGUUGGAGGAAAAACUUAAAGUGAUAGAAGGUACUGAGAGCUACCACGGAAUUGAUGCUAGAGAAUUGAGCUUGGUUCCAGGUUUGGUACUUCCUCACAAGUUCAAAACACUAGAGUUCGAGAAGUAUAAUGGAACCAGUGGCCCCGAAGCACAUAUUACUAUGUUCUACAGGAGGAUGACUAGAUAUGUUAAUAAUGACCAGUUGUUGAUACAUUACUUCCAGGAUAGCCUCACGGGGGCAGUAUCCAGGUGGUACAAUCGAUUGAACCGUACCCAAAUUAAUUCAUGGAGAGAUCUAGCACAGGCAUUCUUGAAACAGUACAGCCAUGUGACUGACAUGGUACCUGAUAGAAUUACUCUGCAGAACAUGGAGAAGAAGCCUGGUGAAAGUUUCAGGCAGUACGCACAGAGAUGGAGGGAGGUUGCUGUCCAAGUUCAGCCAUCUCUUCUAGAAAGAGAGAUGACGAUGCUUUUCAUUAAUACAUUGAAAGCCCCAUUCAUCACACAUAUGUUAGGGAGUGCAACAAAAAGCUUUUCUAACAUAAUCAUGAAUGGUGAAAUGAUUGAAAGCGCCAUAAGGAGCGGAAAGAUUGAUACUGGAGGAAAUAACAGAAGGCAAGCCUCAAAAGAAAAGGGAAAUGAGGUAAACAGCGUGAAUACGUACGACAAAUCGAUUGCUAAUCAACAGGGUUCAUCAAGACAAGAAUUAGGUGUGAAGCCAGGUACUGAAAAGCUCCAGUUCACGCCAAUUCCAAUGUCGUACAAGGAGUUGUAUCAAAGCUUAUUCAAUGCGCAUGUUGUUGCUCCUUUACAUGUGAAGCCUCCACAGCCCCCGUAUCCCAAAUGGUAUGAUGCAAGUGCACAAUGUGAUUAUCAUGCAGGAAUUACGGGGCAUUCCAUAGAAAAUUGCAUUACCUUCAAAAAGCUAGUUGAAAAUUUUAUCAACAUGGGUAUUGUCAAGAUAGAUGGUUCAUCUAGUACCCAGUCAUGAUUGAAUAUGAAGGGGUGUCGAGAAGUGUUCACGAUGAAACAACUGAAGAAGAGACCUUGUCAGAUUUUUGCCCUUAUAGACUUAGGAGUGUUUUAAAUAAUUUGACUGCAGAAGAAGCCCCUGUAGUAUUUAGAGAUUACUCAGAGUAAUGUUCAAAACACACUUGUUGCCUUCAGCCUAGAGGCAAUAAGAAUUCCUUUAUGAAAUAGGCUCAUGUCUGAACGUCGUUAAUUUAAUAAAAUACAUCUUUGCAUUUAUUUUUUUAAGCCAAUAUUCUUUUCGAAUAAUUAUACUUUCAUUCUUUCGGAUCUUCUUCCAUAUUAUCAUUUUAUUCAUCCGUAAUUGUACAAAUGAUUAUUCAUACAUUCUUUUGUAUAUUCUUUGGUAUUUACUGUGGGUCCCCAGAUAUCAAUGACAUGAGUGAUGCUGUUACGGACGGAGAAGUUCCUUUUGAGUGGGAUUUGUGUUUAGAGGGAUCUCAUUACUUUAAAGAUGACACAGAUUGUAUCAUAUUUUCAGACUUGCUGAGGAUGGUAGAACAGGAAUGAAAUCUUACUUCAUGAGGGGAGAAUGGAGAUUGUGACUUUAAGAUUGCGUGCUUAACCGAAGAAAUGAAGUAUAACCUUGUUGAGUUACUUCAAAGAGUUCAAAGAUGUCUUCAUAUGGUCAUAUCAGGAUAUGCUUGAGUAAACACCGACAUUGUAAUUGGAACAACAAUACGAUAUCAAGAAUUUACAGUAUGUUCAAGAUUAACAUCAUGAACGAUGCAUUUAGAAUUCUUUGUCGAGGCAAUGCCUUCUCCUUUGGCUCAUCAUGGUUUAGCAUGUCGAAGUCAAGUUGCCAUUUCUCCGUUGUUGGAUUUCAUCCUAAUUGAAGAGGAAGAUCCAAAGUUUUUGUCAUAAUUAAAUUUUGCCCCAAAAGGCUCUAUGAAAGAGAUUUGAUCACAAAGAAGAUCUUACAUUGGUGCUGAUCGAAAGGGAUAACGAGAACUUAUCCAAUCCUAUGAGUUCAGAUUCAAAAAAAAAACAAAAAACAAAAACAAAAACAAAAAAUGAAAGUGAAAGUGAAAGAAAAAAGAAAAGAAAAUGGAGAUGCCAAAGUGAAAACCCGCAAAAGGCACUUUGAGACCAAAGGGGAUUUGAGUUGAAAACCCGAAAAGGGCGGCUCAAAUAUUGAUCAGAAUGGGGCACGAGGUGAUUAGAGCAACUCAAAGUUUAACCAGAUUGGGGCAUGUGGUGAUCUUGUUAUACCUGAAUUAUCAGGAAAAGGUAGGCAACAUCUUGGGGCAUUGGCAGAGUACUGUGGAUCACCUAAACACAUGUCAAACUCAGAAGGAUCUUUAAAAAGUUUGUACAGAGAAGUUCAAGAUGCGAUAUCUGGGGCACCCAAUAUUCAUACUAAAUUUUUUAUUCUUGGAAUACUUCAUUCUUUUCCAAGAUACACAUUCCCAAUCAAUUUCUUUGCUAUCAUUGUUUACUAUUUUUGAUAAUCUAUUCCUUUCGAGCUAUGCUCAGAACCAAUUGUAUUCUCAUCCAUUGUUAUACCCUUUUUGCAAGCAUGUUGCAUUAGAAUAAUGAUUAAUGGACUAAUGAAACUUUCACGAAGGAGGUUUUGCAUAUUACUCUAGGAGUUUCUAAAUAAUACAAUUGCCUGAAACAGGAUUAUUAUUUAGAACGCACCGGGUUUAAAGGUUGGAAAUCUGAAAAGGAACAGUCUAAACUAGGACUUUCUCUUUGGAUUUUGCUGUCAAAAACAUUGGAUGUCGUGUUGAUGACAAAGCCUAAAUCAAACAAGCAAGUAAUGAUCACCAAGAGGUUACCUCGGGGAAGAGAGCCUUUAUUUGCGCAUGAGCCUUUGGUACGAUACCCUGGGAAUGGUGUAAAGGACCAUAAAGAUUUAGAUCAUGUAUCAUUGAAUUGUGAUAGGAAAGGAUUGAGGAAAGCCACGUAUUUUAGUGGGAGAACGAUGGUAUGAAUUUUUGCGCCCUAAUGGAUUAAACUUGGAGGGCAACCUGACUAAAGGUUUCUUCAGAAAAGCCAGUCAAGUAAAAAGGCGUUGUAGCACGUUAGUCACAAAGCCUUAAUAAACUUCGAGUAAUGACAACCUAAGCGGGAUCAUUCUCGGAAAAAUAAAAUUUUGCAUUCAUGCAUUUGAUGCAUUUUGAUCAUGCCAUUCUAAUCAUUAGGCAUAAUUAAGUUCAUUAUACAGGUCAUGCUCCCCAGAGAACAGAUCAGUGAAAGAGCAGAUCUUGUCUUCCUACAUCGACAGCGAAGCAGAUCGAAAACAAAACCUUGCCUUCCUCGUUUGUAGUCGAGCAGAUCGAAGAUGACGGAUUUUACCUCCCUGUGGUUAUAGUGGAGUACAUUGAAGCCAGUAAUUCUACUUCCCUGGGUAGCAGUGGAAUAGAUUGAAGAUUUCAGAUCUUAUCUCCCUAAGCAGUAGUGGAGUAGAUCGAAGAUGGCGGAUUUUACCUCUCUGUGGUUACAGUGGAGUACAUUGAAGCCAGUAAUUCUACUUCCCUGGGCAGCAGUGGAAUAGAUUAAAGAUAGCAGAUCUUACCUUCCUGCAUUGACAGCGAAGCAGAUCGAAGAUGGCGGAUUUUACCUCCCUGUGGUUAUAGUGGAGUACAUUGAAGCCAAUAAUUCUACUUCCCUGGGCAGCAGUGGAAUAGAUUGAAGAUUUCAGAUCUUAUCUCCCUAAGCAGUAGUGGAGCAGAUCGAAGAUGGCAGAUUUUACCUCCUUGUGGUUAUAGUGGAGUACAUUAAAGCCAGUAAUUCUACUUCCCUGGGCAACAGUGGAAUAGAUUGAAGAUUUCAGAUCUUAUCUCCCUAAGCAGUAGUGGAGCAGAUCGAAGAUGACGGAUUUUACCUCCAUGUGGUUAUAGUGGAGUACAUUGAAGCCAGUAAUUCUACUUCCCUGGGUAGCAGUGGAAUAGAUUGAAGAUUUCAGAUAUUAUCUCCCUAAGCAGUAGUGGAGCAGAUUGAAGAUUGCGGAUUUUACCUCCCUGUGGUUACAGUGGAGUACAUUGAAGCUAGUAAUUCUACUUCCCUAGGCAAUAGUGGAAUAGAUUGAAGAUUUCAGAUCUUAUCUCCCUAAGCAGUAGUGGAGUAGAUCGAAUAUGGUGGAUUUUACCUCCCUGUGGUUACAGUGGAGUAUAUUGAAGUCAGUAAUUCUAUCUCCCUGGUCAGCAGUGGAAUAGGUUGAAGAUUGUAAGUCUUAUCUCCCUACAGUUGCAGUGGAAUAGAUUGAAGCACUAGCUCCUAUACUUCUGAAGAUGCAGUAGGAAGGAAUGAGGCUACUUGAAGAAGAAGAGUUUCAUGUUCCAGCAAGACCGGACAAAAUUGGGCAUUUUUAAAGUCUUUGCUCCGUUCCUGUUACACGACAACGAGCAAAUAGGGGCAGCUGUAAUACCCAAUUUUAGCCCGGGCUCGCAUAUGGAAACAUAAUUUUUGAGGAUAUGCAAUCCUAGAUAUGAUAUGCAAUCCUAGAUAUGAUAUGCAAUCUUAGAUAUGAUAUAUAAUCUUAGAUAUGAUAUGUAAUCUUAGAAUAUAUGAUUUUGUAAUCUUAGAGAUUUAAUUUGUAGAUACCCUUUAAUCUCAGCCGUUGAUGUAAUUGAUCUGUACCGUUGGAUUUGAGGAGGCUCAACUAUAAAUAGAGGCCUCUCCCUUCAUUGUUGAAAGGGAGUAGGAGGAAGAGGAAUAAAAAAGAGAACGAUUGGCAGUUUUUUAAAGGUGGCUUACUAUUUUUUUUCUUCCGAUUAUUUUUUUUACUUAUUUACGAUUUUAAAAAGGGGGAGAAGGUGAUACCACUGCGAAUUUUAUUUAUUUAUUUUAUUUAGCCCCUUCGCCUUUUAAUGUUUUUGUAAUUAAGUUUUUUUAUUUUUAUUUUUCUUAAUUUACCCUUUUAUUUAUUUUUAUUUCAAUUGGGUCUAAGUUGAACGGCGUUGUUUUAGAAGAGAAGGGAAAAUUUCCCUUCCAGCCCCUCUAUGUAAUUCGCGCGUUCAAAUUAAUCCUUUUACUUUUAUUUAUUUGCGGAUUUACCCCUAUUUUUUUACUUCUGACCCAAUUUAGUCCUUUCUCAUAUUUUUCUUAAAAUCAGUAUUUCUAAUUUUUUUUAUGAAAUUAUUAUUAUAUGUAUAUAUAUAAAUAUGUUUCUUUUGCAUGUAUUUACACCUUAAAAAAAACUAAUAUUUUUCGUAUAUUUUAGACACAUGUUUUAUUAAUUUUGAUAUUAUGUUAAUUAUUUUAAACUUAUAUAUUUUCAUGGAUGUAUGUAUAUAUAUUUUUAUUUAUUUCAGUUAUUUGUCUAUUAAUUUAUGUUUACAUAUAUUUUUUUAUUAUCUUGUCCAUUUAUUUGAUAUUUUGCAGGCCAUUAUUUUACUUAUUUGUUCAUAUAUUUGCAUUAUUUCUAUGCUAUCGUAGUAUUUAUUAUUGCAUUAUAUAUUUAAUGUAGCAUAACAUUACAUUUUUUACUCGAUUUUUAAAAUCAAACUUUUUCAAAAUGGAUAUUCUUUUAAUUAAAAUAAAAACUCAUUAUUGGGAAUUCAACACGUUGUGUCCUAACGUAUUGGAUGUGACGCAUUGAUUUCUCGAAAUGAAGAUUUUUGUUAAAAAUCAUGAAGGAAAUAUUCCGAAUUUGAGAUUCUAAAGGAAUUGUGCCCUGACGUAUUGGGUGUGAUUUCUUAAAUCUUGGAUAAGUGGAUGUUCUUUUAAAGUAAAGGAAAUAUUCCGAGUUUGGGAUUCUAAAGGGAUCGUGCCCUAACGUAUUGGGUGUGAUUUCUUAAAUCUUGGAUGAGUGGAUGUUCUUUUAAAGUUUUAUUGUAUAAGUAUUCUGAUCUAAUUCAUUUUGGGGGAAAUUAGAAUGUUGUGCCCUAACGUAUUGGGUGUGGCAUUUUUGCUUCUCUAAAUUGAAAAGGGUCUUAAUAUGCAACGUUUUAAGUUUUUAAAGAUUAUAUUUUUUAAAUUUUCGACCUUAAGACAUUAAUUAAUUAACUAGGUACCAAUUUUUGGGCGUAAUGAGGGUGCUAAUCCUUCCUCAUGUGUAACCGACUCCUGGACCCGUUAUUCUAAAAUUCGUAGACUAAAGUCGUUUUUAGGUGACCCAAUCACACCUUAAUAAAAGAUUGGUGGCGACUCCCAACUUUCAUUUUCUUUUUUUUAAGUCGACAACCUAAAAUUUUUUGUUUUCAAAAAAAAAUGGUUUCGACACUUAAUAUGAUUAUUUUUAUAUUAAAUUAUUUUAAAUAUUUUAUUUUUAUAUUUUUUGAGUCCAAGUUUUAAUUAUUAACGUUUAUAUUUUUUUGUUAAUAUAACUUUUUUUAAUUAAAUUUAGCUCUUAAGUUAAAUUUAAUUAUUAAUCUUUUAAAAAAGAGUUAAAUUAAUUUUUUAAUAAAAAUUUUAAAUUUUAAAUACGGCAACUUUCGUAGUAGUCAAAGAGCAUUUCAUGCUUCUUUUUAAUUUUUAUGAAAGUUUUAUAAUAUUUUUGAGUUGAGUUUUUUUUUUGAAUUUUUUAUAAUUUUAAAUUAUUUAUUGGCGUGGUAUAUAAGAUAACUAUUGUCAUGUCAGAUUGUUCACAUGGAUUGGCACGCGGAUUGUCGUCUCAAUUUCAUUAAAAAUUUAAUGUUUUAGUCAACGUAAUUUUAAAGAAAAGUAAUUUAACUCUUUUUAAAGGUUUAAUGCUCAAAUUUAGUUAAAAAAAGUAAGAGUUGAAUUGACAAAAAAUACAAAUAUUGAGGACUAAAUUCGUUAUUAUGCUUUUUUUUAACCAAAGAAUCCUUAUUCAGGGUCAAUAGAAAUGAGAGUUUAGAACUAUUAAUGGGUUGGUUCAGGUUCCAAUUUUUUUUACUGUUGGCAAAUUUAUAAAAUAUUUUAUAUUAAUAUUUAAAAAAUUUUAUAAUAAAUUAAAUUUAAAAAAUAUUUUUUAUUUAAAUUAAAUUUAGGUUAAAUCAAGUUGGCUUGAAAAAUAAAAAUCUACGUUUAAGUCCGAAUCUAGUCAUGUCAGGCCUAUCGGAUUGGGUGAGCUUCCUGACCCAUAAAUAGGUCUAAUGAGAGUUAAUUAAGCUUCGUUCUCUCCAAAUUUUUGAAAAAGAUUUUUAAAACUUAAUAUUUAAUUAAAUUUGCAUGUUGGUUUUAAGAUUUAUACCUUCAUAUAUAUAUGUUUUUUUUUUCAUGAUAAAAUGCCAUGAAAGGCAAGUAAUCUUUUAAGAUUAUUACAUAAAUCCCAUACGUUAAAAGUAAUAAAUUAUGUCAUUAAUUAUAUAUUAUCCAUUUAAAAAGAAAGGUCCUUUGGAUUUUCCUUGGUUCACACGUGAAUUGACUUUCUCUUUUCUUUUUUCUUUUUCUUUUUUGCCGUAUGUAGUAAAAUAGUCAAUUUUAAUAGAAGAUUUUAAUCACCUUAAUAAUUAGAUUUGAAAUUUUAAAUUUUAAAAAUCGAGUGAUUAAAUUUCUAAAAAUAAAAAUAUAAAGAUUAAAUUACAAAUAUACAAAUAGUACAAUAAUUUAACUAUAUUUUUAAUAUUUACUUUAUAAUUUAAUUGAAAAUACUUAAUAGUUAACCGAACAUGAAGUACGAUAAAAUAUGUAUUAGUUAGUAUUAAGGGUUUUUACUUAGACAAUAUAAAAAAAAUACGAAAAUGUGAUAUAUUGUAAAUUAUUUACGAAAAUAACAUAUUUUCUACCAUAAAAUUAUGUGUUUGUCAACCUGUCAGGCACAUCACCUAUAAAAUAUAAUAUUUUAAUAAAAUAAAUAAAAUAAUAAAUUAAAAACAAUACUUUAAUCUAAAAAAGGGCGACGCCAAAAGUCAUGCGAUACCCAUUUUUCUUAUUGACUUUUUACCCUUCUUUUUUAAUUUGGGUUGGUUGUGGUAUGAUUUUGAAUUUCAUACCUCUAUUUUAUGGAAAUUAGAAAUAAGUCUAUUUAUUUUAAUUUAUUAUAAUUUAAUCUUUGUAGGUUUUCGAAUUUGACUAACUUUUUUAAUUCGAAAACUUAAAAAGAUUAAAUUAUGAUAAAUUCAAAUAAUAGUUAAAAUCGAAAAUUUAGAUUAAAUUAUGAUAAAUUAAAAGAAAUGGACAAACUUCUAAUUUUCAUAAAAUAAAAGAUAUAAAAAAAUAUGCCACAAUCACCCUAAAUUAAAAAAAUGAAAAAAAUAGGAAAAGGAGUGCGGCCGGAUAUUUUGGGUCACCCCUUUUUUUAGAUUAAAUUAUUAAUUAUUAAAUUUAUUUUUAUUGAAAUAUUAUUUUUUAUAAGUAAUAAGAUAUUAUUCUCCUAGGUAAUUUACAUAUUUUCGUAAUUAAUUAAGUUUUAUUAAAGACACUUUUCCAGUGUAAGCCCAUUUCUUUAUUCAUGUGUUUACUCCUUGGAAGACAAGUUUCUGACUACAGAAUCCCCAAGUUGCUGACGACCAUGUUUUUGGUCUUUCUCUCCACCAAACGGCAUAUAAUAUGAAUGUGAGUCAGCAGCAUAAACCAUCGUUGAAAAAUGUUCAAUUCAGUUCUCAAACUAUGACUUGCAUUUCAAAUUCAUCUCCAAAGUCCAAAUUUUAAAAACUUGAAUCUACGUAUUAGAAAAAGUAAUUCUCUUAAAAUUUAUUGAUUUUCUUUUUAGAAACACAUUAAAUGUAAGCUAUUCAAUCUAUAGUUACAUAGGUUUUUACAAUUUGAUAAAAAUAUUUUAAAUAUAUCUUAUGUCAUGAAUAAAUAUUUAUUAUUUAAAGUGAUAACUACACAGGCAAAAGAAUCUUAUUGUGAUAAUCUGAGAACCCAGUAACUAUUUGAGGUAUGUGGAUCAAUUUGAAAUUUUAGCACUAAUUUAGGAAUAUUAGUUGAAAUUAAGUCCUUCGAUCUGUCCCCAGUUCCUGCUGAUUAGUAUUUUGUUAUUUGUGGAAAACUGACAAUAAAGUUAAAAACAGACUUUGAUAAUUGAUGCUAUAUUUUAUAUUUUCAGAGUCAAAAAUCACGUCUUUUCCCGAAGGCCACUCCAGUCUCCAACUUCCUUCUUUACAUCUUUUUCUGAGGUUCAGUGCCUUUCCCUUCUGCUCUCUCCGCUUCCAAUCUUGCUCUCCACGCAUUUCUCUUCUCCAAGUAUUUUUCUUGGUCUUUCUUUUUUAGUCUUAUUUAUAUAUAAACACAAAGCCUGAAGCCUUCAAACACUUGAAACCAAUCAAAUCUUUUAUCCGAACACACAAAACCCAAGUUUUUUCUUCAGCCAAAGCUCCAAAAAAGAUGGAACUUUUUGCUUCACAAUCAUCUUUACUACUGAGUUCAGCUACUAGUUUUGAUUUUCUACUAAAACCCAUUUUUCCUCAUGGGUUUUCUGCUUCAUUACACUUAGUUUUGUUGCUUUUAUUGUUAAUCUUAUGGAUGGUGAGCAGGAUUAAAAAAGUUAGUAGGGAAGGUUCAAAGGAACGACAGAUUUUAUGGUAUAAGCAAACAUUAGCUUGUUGUUUUGUUGUUUCAGUUUCCAAUGUUGUCUUGUGUUUGUUAAGUUAUUUUUAUUGGUAUACAAAUGGUUGGUCUGAGGAUAAGUUGGUGAGUCUUAUUGAUUAUGCAUUGAAAAUACUUGCUUGGGGUGCAACAUGUGUUUGCUUGCAAUGUCAAUUCUCCAAUCCUGGUGAACAAAAGAGGUUCCCUGUUGUGUUGAGAAUUUGGUGGGGUUUUUACUUUUCAAUUUCAUGUUAUUGUCUUGUUAUAGACAUUGUUCUCUUCAAAAAACAUGUUUCUUUCCCAACCCAGUAUUUAGUAUCUGAUGUCUUGUCUGUUGUUACUGGUUUGUUUCUAUGCAUUGUUGGGUUCUUUGUAAGAUAUGAGGGUGAAGAUAUCCUCCUUGAGGAACCCCUUUUAAGCGGAGAUUCUAGUGUUAGUAAUUGUGUAGAGUUGAGUAAGGAAAAAGGGGGUGAUACUGUAACCCCAUAUUCAAAUGCUAAUAUUUUCAGCGUUCUUACAUUUUCUUGGAUGGGGCCUCUCAUUGCUGCUGGCAAUAAGAAACCAUUAGACCUUGAGGAUGUUCCUCAGCUAGAUAGCCAUGAUAGUGUUAUUGGGGCUUUUCCAAAAUUUAAAAACAGGCUUGAAUCAGCUGAUAGUGAGGGGAAUGGUGUUACCUCACUUAAGCUGGUGAAGGCACUGUUCUUUUCAGCAUGGAAAGAUAUUCUUUGGACAGCUUUGUUUGCAUUUACUUACACGGUGGCUUCAUAUGUUGGCCCAUACCUCAUCGACACUUUUGUUCAGUAUCUGAAUGGGCAAAGGGAAUUUAAGGCUGAGGGGUAUCUUCUAGUUGCUGCUUUCUUUGUUGCCAAGCUAGUGGAGUGCUUGUCUCAGAGGCGCUGGUUCUUUAAGUUGCAACAAGUUGGACUUAGGCAGAGGGCUGUACUGGUAGCAAUGAUAUAUAACAAGGGGUUAACCCUUUCAUGCCAGUCGAAGCAGAGCCAUACCAGUGGGGAGAUCAUCAAUUUCAUGACUGUUGAUGCAGAAAGGGUGGGUGACUUUAGUUGGUACAUGCAUGAUCCAUGGAAGGUAGUUUUGCAAGUUGCUUUGGCCUUGUUGAUCUUGUAUAAGACCCUGGGGCUUGCAUCCAUUGCCGCUUUCGUUGCUACUGUACUUGUUAUGUUGGCGAAUAUUCCUUUGGGGAAAAUGCUGGAGAAGUUUCAGGAUAAGUUAAUGGAAUCAAAAGAUACAAGGAUGAAGGCAACAUCUGAAAUUUUGAGGAAUAUGAGGAUUCUUAAACUGCAAGGGUGGGAAAUGAAGUUCCUCUCCAGGAUUGUCGGGCUCAGGAGCGUCGAGGAAGGAUGGUUAAAACGAUUCGUUUAUACAAAUGCCAUGACUGCUUUCGUUUUCUGGGUUGCACCAUCCUUUGUGUCUGUAGCCACUUUUGGUGCUUGUAUGUUCUUAGGAGUCCCACUUGAGUCGGGGAAGAUCCUAUCUGCACUCGCAACAUUCAGGAUUCUUCAGGUGCCAAUCUACAACCUUCCUGACACAAUCUCAAUGAUAGUUCAAACAAAGGUGUCACUUGAUCGAAUUGCUGCCUUCCUCCGGCUCGAUGACUUGCAGCCUGAUGCUAUAGAGAAGCUACCCAGUGGUAGUUCCAAUACAGCGAUCGAGAUUGCUGAUGGGAACUUCUCUUGGGAUACGUCAUCCCCUACUGCAACACUAAAAGAUAUAAACUUCAAAGUUUCCCAUGGCAUGAGUGUUGCUGUUUGUGGUACGGUCGGCUCUGGCAAAUCAAGUUUACUUUCCUGUCUUUUGGGAGAGUUACCAAAGAUAUCAGGAACGCUUAAGUUGUGUGGUACAACAGCCUAUGUUGCCCAGUCACCUUGGAUACAAAGUGGCAAGAUUGUAGACAACAUAUUGUUCGGUAAGGAAAUGGACAGAGACAAGUAUGACAAAGUGCUUGAAGCUUGUACCCUCAAGAAGGAUCUUGAAAUUCUCUCUUUCGGUGAUCAGACGGUUAUAGGCGAGAGGGGAAUCAAUCUGAGUGGUGGACAAAAGCAAAGAAUACAGAUUGCUCGUGCUCUAUACCAAGAUGCCGAUAUCUAUCUGUUUGAUGAUCCUUUCAGCGCAGUGGAUGCUCAUACCGGAUCUCAUUUAUUUAAGGUAAUGUCUUCUUAAUGAUCAUAUGGCAUGCAUUUUAAGAGUCGCUAUAGUUAAUUUAGUUGAAAUAGUUAUGUAUGAGCUCUGAGUAUCUUGUUUACUCUUUUGAAUGGCAGGAGGUUUUACUAAAGAAUUUGAGAUCAAAAACAGUGAUUUAUGUCACUCAUCAAGUUGAGUUUUUACCAGCUGCUGAUUUAAUUUUGGUAAGCUAUUAUUUACAUUAUUUUCAGUGAUUUUCAUCAUAUGUCUAAGAUUCAAGAAAUAAUUUACUAACUGGAUGCAACUUGUAUUUACAUAUUUGUUAGGUGAUGAAAGAUGGGAGGAUUGUUCAAGCUGGAAAUUAUAAUGAUAUUCUCAAUUCAGGUACUGAUUUUAUGGAACUUGUGGGUGCACAUAAGAAAGCUUUGUCGGCCCUUGAUACUGUUGAAGCAAGUUCGGUUUCUGAACAAACUACCAGCGAAGGAGAAUGUGAUAUAGUUACUACUAAUGGGAAAGUGCAGAAACAAAAAAACCAAGAUAACCUGAGCUUUAAAGUAGAUGAUGUCGGACCAAAAGGACAGCUUGUUCAAGAAGAAGAACGAGAGAAAGGACAAGUCGGGUUUUCGGUCUACUGGAAGUACAUCACAACAGCAUAUGGAGGAGCUCUUGUGCCUUCAAUACUGCUUGCUCAGAUUCUCUUUCAGAUUUUUCAAAUAGGCAGCAACUAUUGGAUGGCUUGGGGAUCACCGGUGUCGGCAGACAUAAAGCCUCCUGUUGGGAGCUUUACACUAAUCAUGGUCUAUUUGGCUUUGGCCAUUGCAAGUGCCAUUUGUGUCUUUGCCAGAUCCAUACUUCUUCGUAUAGCUGGAUAUAAAACAGCCACUCUUCUCUUUAAAAAGAUGCAUCUUUGCAUUUUCCGCGCUCCUAUGUCUUUCUUCGAUUCUACACCGAGUGGAAGAAUCCUCAACAGAGUAAGCAUCUAAUGUUUUUCCUGUAUGGAUACGAAAGAUUCAAUUUAUCUUCAUGUUUGUUGGCAUUUUUCCCCUUGUUUUUGCGGUAUUGUAAACUUUUUUACUGCCUCUUAUAGGCUUCUACAGAUCAAAGUGCAGUAGAUAUGAACAUCCCGUAUCAAGUUGCCUCAUUUGCUUUCUCAGUUAUCCAGCUACUUGGAAUCAUUGCAGUCAUGUCUCAAGUUGCUUGGCAGAUCUUUGUCAUUUUUAUUCCAGUGAUUGCUACCUGCAUUUGGUAUCAGGUAACUCUUGCUGAAUUGUGGCUAAGCAAUGCAUGAAAUCAUGAACUUCUUACAAUGCAGCAACAUAUCUAAAAUCUUAAAUUUUCUACUUUGUAAAACUCAUUUAAUCAUUGCCUUAUUGCUGAACAAAGGAAUGCUCAUAAACUUGUAAUCUCGCAGCAAUAUUACAUAUCUUCUGCACGAGAACUUUCGCGGCUGGUUGGAGUAUACAAAGCUCCAGUGAUACAGAAUUUUGCUGAAACAAUUUUAGGAGCAACAACUAUAAGGAGCUUUGAUCAAGAGAAAAGGUUCCAAGACACAAACAUGGUGCUGACUGACUCGUAUUCUCGUCCAAAAUUCCAUGUUGCCGGUGCAAUGGAAUGGCUGUGCUUCCGCCUGGACUUACUGUCUUCUGUUACUUUUGCCUUCUCUUUAUUCUUUUUAAUCUCUAUACCGGAAGGAAUUAUCGAUCCUGGUAAGUAAAUGCAGAUUCAUAUUGGCAGCUUUAUUGACUACUAGAUAACAAAUGUUCUAGGAGAAUGACUAUGCAUUUUUCUUUUGUUUAGCUAUUGCCGGGUUAGCUGUGACGUAUGGACUCAAUCUAAAUAUGUUGCAAGCUUGGGUGGUGUGGAAUCUUUGCAAUAUGGAGAAUAAAAUUAUAUCUGUUGAGAGAAUACUUCAGUACUGUAGUAUUCCUAGUGAGCCUGCCCUUGUGGUGGAAACGAAUCGCCCAGACCAUUGUUGGCCGUACCAUGGAGAAGUUCAUAUUUGUGAUUUGCAGGUAAGGGCAGUGUUGUGUUGUUGUAUGAUUUUGUUUCUAAUGGAUUGGCCGUAUUAAAUAAACAAUGAUGGUCUCAAUGUAGGUACGAUAUGCCCCGCACAUGCCACUCGUGUUGCGAGGUCUGACCUGCACAUUUCCUGGAGGGUUGAAAACCGGUAUCGUAGGGAGAACAGGCAGUGGUAAAUCAACUCUCAUACAAACACUUUUCCGGAUCGUUGAACCUGCAGCAGGACAGAUCAUAAUCGAUGGUGUAAACAUCUCAUCGAUCGGGUUGCAUGAUUUGCGUUCACGACUCAGCAUCAUCCCUCAAGAGCCUACCAUGUUUGAAGGGACUAUACGAAACAACUUGGACCCUCUUGAAGAAUACACAGAUGAACAGAUUUGGGAGGUAGGUUCAUUUUAGUUAAACACUGUCUGUUAUGAUCGGCAAUUGAAGUCUAACAUCAAUCAAUAUUGUGUUUUAAAGGCAUUGGAUAAAUGCCAACUUGGGGAUGGAGUUCGAAACAAGGCCAGCCGGCUCGAUUCUUCAGGUUCGAUCCUUCUAUCUUAUAACACACAUGAGUUUGUCUUCUUUUGCAUAAAUUAUACUUAGUAUGAUUAUUGUUGUGCAGUUAGUGAGAAUGGAGAGAAUUGGAGCGUGGGGCAAAGGCAGUUGGUGUGCCUUGGGCGUGUUCUAUUGAAGAAAAGUAAGAUCUUAGUGCUCGACGAAGCUACCGCAUCGGUGGAUACAGCCACCGACAACCUAAUACAGACGACGUUAAGGGAGCACUUCUCCGAUUGUACGGUCAUAACAAUCGCUCACCGAAUAACUUCGGUUCUUGAUAGCGACAUGGUUCUGCUUCUAAGUC